Austrofundulus limnaeus is the source of this 1336-nucleotide long non-coding RNA. RefSeq lists it as uncharacterized. The record is from RefSeq and is a predicted model, not a curated record. Lineage: Eukaryota; Metazoa; Chordata; Actinopteri; Cyprinodontiformes; Rivulidae. The transcript is spliced from 3 exons.
GCUGAGCAAUAUUGUGAUUGUCUGUGUGUGUGUUGUGUCUCAACUAGUAAUACUGAGAUAAAUUUUAUUGUGGGAGUAACCGAGAGUCAUCACCAACACAUAGAGCACAGAGAUUUUUGAAUAAAACUGGCUGUAUGUUAGCAAAAUAUCUCACGAGUUUUAUGRAACCUCCCCAUGGCAGCUGCAGCUAGCCAAGAUUAUCAAACACAAAAAAGGACUAUCUCAAUUGUAUAGACGCUGAACUGAAAAAUGGUGUUGUAGUGGCUGAGAGUCAUCCACAACACAAUCCUCUGAUUUGCUAAGGAUCUCGUAAUAUUAUGUGAAAAGGUGUGUAAUAUGUUUAUUAUCUGUGUCUCAUCACUGUWAGGUCAUCUGACCAUCCAGUUGUAAAGCAUCAGCUGAUGACUUCAGGGUGUCAUGUGAGGCAUUAACAUGUCGGCAGCUCCACAAAAUGUGGUCACCUUCAAGAAGAAGGCAAGGAAUGUAUCUUAAACUUCCUCCUCCUCCUCCUCUUCAGUCAUGGGGUUCUCCGCUGGGUAAUCACAUACCAAAAAAAAAAAAAAAAAAAGACAAGAAGUUCUACCUCUCUCCUCUCCAGGCAGGGACUGCUCCUUGGGUGUUGUUAAGCCAACAGAAAUGAAAGGGGAGCAAACCGGAAACAGGAGGCCCACAUGUGUAUUGAGAAUAAAAGCAUUCAGAAAUGGAUGUGCAGGAGUUUUUCACCAAUGCCAAAAUGUGUGACUUAAACUACAUGACAGGGUGCAGAUGGUGUUGGAUGCCAGCAUGGGAACCUCAAGACUUCUCAGAGGAACUGGAGUCCAGCCUUUUCAGUCACUAUCCAGAGUGAACCACUCUAGAGAAARCUGGAGAUAACAAUCUGAUGAAACCAAUAGGACUACAUCAUCUGCAAAAAGCAGAGACACGAUCUUAAGGUCACUGAUAGAGUUUUAUUGAAUUUAUUAAACUUCUUAAGGUGUUUCAAAUAAAGUCUUGAGGUACGUGACAAAUGUAUUAUUCAUCAUGGCGUGUCCACAGAGUGCAGCAGACAGAAAAUGCUCUAAAGCAGAGCUGGUAAGACAAAACAAGUCUGUGUUGUUUUUACUAUUAUUCACAUAUUAAACCCCAGCAACAAGUGUUUUGAUUGGUUCCUAUGCCUAUGACAAACCACAUAACUGAUCUCUGAUUUGUUGUAACAUUGUGUGACUUCAUUCCUACGUGUGUGAAUAAAACGACUGUUCACGCCCCCAGAGGUCAGAACUUCUCUGUGCUUCACUGUGCUUUCGAGCAGAGUUAAGUAUCUCAGAAUUUCUCCUUUGCAAAGUGAAACAAAAAAAUC